GAGGGAAUAAGGAAAACUUGUUUUCAAAAUGAAAAUACAAGAAUGAUUGUUAGCUAUUUAGCUGCAAGCAGAAAAGCCUGAUAGAGUAUGUUUUCUAUAAACAUUCCUUACUCCGAACCGUUCUUUAAGAAAGUAAAACACUAAUUGAAGGUGGGUUGAAAAGAAAGAAAACAAAUAAUCUUCUGAUUAUAAAAUUUCAAUUUAUAUCUCAACUACAGGAAUUAAUAACUUGGGAAAAGUAUUCAGUUGGUGAAGGAUGCUUGAUAAGUUGGUUUUGUAGUUUACAAAGAACAGUAAUUUCUGUGUCAAAUACUUUUGCAGUUUUCCAACCCAGAGGGUAUCUGGUUCUUUUCCUAGCUAGGGAGGCUUGGCUUCCAUUGGAGCCUUCUAAAGUCAGUUUCAUUACUCUGGAGGUUGCUAAGGAGAAAAUUCUUACAAUAAAUCAGCUAAUGAAAAGAGGCUGCUCUUUUUGUUAGUCAGUAUGAAUUGCAUAAGCAUAUUCUUAUUUAUUGUGGGUUUGGUGUGAGGCUUUGUUGUUCUCUUAAUUGGCAUUUCUUGGGCACUCCCCCAGUCUUUCAAGGAGUUAUUGUUAGGUUGGCUAAAAGCAUCAUUCAGAGUCAUAUGAGGUUUUGGAGACUCUCUCCUCUUUGCUUGAUUUGGAGCAUUUGGAGAGAUUGGAACAAAAGAUAUUUUUAAGGCAAAGGAAGUUCAGAACUCGUGUGAAAUACUUCCAUAAAACCUUUANNN
Molecule: long non-coding RNA, 747 nt
Filed under: Vitis vinifera (wine grape)
Lineage: Eukaryota; Viridiplantae; Streptophyta; Magnoliopsida; Vitales; Vitaceae
Description: long non-coding RNA (VVIN_LNC007575)
Source: RNAcentral